Aegilops tauschii subsp. strangulata is the source of this 4711-nucleotide long non-coding RNA. RefSeq lists it as uncharacterized. Lineage: Eukaryota; Viridiplantae; Streptophyta; Magnoliopsida; Poales; Poaceae. The record is from RefSeq and is a predicted model, not a curated record.
AUUCGGUGGUUUUCUGCAAUUCACUCACCAGAAAACUUCAUUUGAAUUUGAGCGUGUGCACCUCGAACUUGCAUUCAUCAAAAUCAAGGGUAGGAUCCUUCUUGAUCCAUGUCGGGUGCAUCCAGAAGCCGAGUGUCGGGCGCAACCCCGACGCUCUACGGAUUGACAGGCUGGCAAUCGGGUGGGCGCUGGACCUGUACCCUCACCACGUCGCCGGGAGGACUCUCGGCUCACCAAAGUGACGAAAGCACUGCCCAGGUAGCAAACUGGCGGAGAACCAUUUUGGCCGGCGGCUUAGUGCGCCUUGAGCAGCAGGCGCCGAACUGACGGAUCACCCCCUGCGCUCAGGGUGUUUGAUGAAAUGCCGCUUGAGGUUAUCUAACUGAAGAGCAGGUUCCAUCACACCAGAAGUUUCCCAGGCGAUCGUCCCCAUGUUUCAUCUGCAGACCCCCUCUGUACUAGGAUAUCUCAUUUCCAGGUUUGUAUUUUCUUGUUGGCAUUUCUUUUUUUUUCUAUUGAUACACACUGAAAUGUGGAAUGUUUUCUAAAAGGUAAAACAUGUGGAAUGUUUCUUUUCUGUGAUCUUUACGCAUGUACAUGUUCAUGAUUAUUUUCUGCACCAAAUACUCUGAACUGGUUGUAUUACGUAAUUUCAGGUAUGAAUCUGAUCAAUACAUGUGCAAUGAAACCAUUAGUCGGUCUGUCGUAUUUAUUUCAGUUGUGGUUUCUGUGCUGGUGGUGACUCUACUUGUGCUUUCAUAUUCGAUCUGGACAGAAAAUAAAACUUAAUAACGUGUGUGCUCUUAUAUUGCUAUAACAUGUAUUAUUGAUUAUUAAGGGUUUACUGUCUUGCUAUUUAUGCUAUAUAUCUUUUUUUAGAAUAAUUUAUGCUAAAUAUCUGACAUUUGUGCCACCAGUUUCUACACAAGAUCCUCCCAGAGUGGAAAAGGUCAGAAAAUUUUCAUGCGAACCACCUGCAAAAUAAUACGAAUUUCCGGUUCACACCACUUUGACCUGGAGAAGUUUAUGAAUAAGUUCUAAAGUUUCAUUGGAGAAGGAGCAUUUGGGCUACUAUACUAUGGCCGUUUAGAAGAUGACACUAAGCAUGCUGUCAAGAUGCAUUCUGAAUCUGUCUCACUCUCGCAUGGAAUUGAUGAGUUUUUAGCAGAGUUGCCAAAUUAUUAACUUUACUGUCAGGGCCCUCUACUGCUGUUUCAGUUAAAAAGAAGUUACCAAAUUGUGCACCUAAAAACUUCAUGAUUUCAGGAUCUUGUCGACCUUAAUAAAAUUUACUGUUGAGGCCUCCCCUACAGUUUCAGUUCAAAAUAGUUAUAAAAUUAUGCACCUAAAAAAGUUCAAGAUUUCAGAAUCUUCCAAUGGUGUAUGUGUCAUACAUAGGACAACUUGUCAUUUCUCCUCGGGUGAGAAACAAUUGAAGUUUGUAAUGUAGGCUCAGCGAGUUGCAUUUGCAGUGAGAUUACUGAAACAUUAAGAGAUUUUCUUUAUGUUCUUUGUGCCCACUAUACUUGGAGUCUAAUCAGGCACUUAAAUGUUCAGUCUCUAUAUAAUCUGAAUGCUGAAAGGGUUACUAGUAAGUGAUAUUUUCUGUUUGUAAUUGACAUCUAUGGUCCAUUGACACAGUUGAUCAAAUUAGAUAAUUUCUUGCUACAUUUCAUAAAACUGAAUUUUCAUGAAUGCUCAUUUUAUUUUUCAGGCAUCUGCCAUUGUCUAUCUCUGCAGCUUGAUAGUAUCUCCUGUUACACGUCUGAGUAUCUAAGUUUAAAUUACUAUUUUCUUCCUCAACUCAAUGAAUUUUUUUUUGACUAUGUCAAUGAGGGUUUUUUUCUUUGGAGGAACCAACUCAAUGGAAUUCUACACUGUUUAUGGGAGACUAGAUGGUUGAGUUGACCAUUAUGUCUCCGCUGGAGCAAUGCUUUGGAUAUUGUCCGGUGUUAGGAUUGUUUUUUUUACAACUUCAUAAUUUAUGCCCCGUCAGUCGCAAUAGGAGCUGCCAGUGCAUUUAUGACGGUCAGUGGUAUCGGCGAUGGAAGGCGAUUUAGUAGGAGAAGAUCCAAAUGGUCGUGCUUUUAUGUGUGGCUCAAUAAUAAUCAUGUGGCAUGCCUUAAUGCCUUUGUAUAUUCUGAAGUCCCAUCUUAGAGCUCAUCAUCAUCAUCAUAAGAGAAUUUAGUACUCUUAUUACAGUAUAAUGAGAGUUCUAUUUUUGCAUGGCAGGAAGCACCAAAGAUGAGGGAGAAUCCUGCGAAGACCUCUAGUGGAGGCAGAGCGUCUUCUUGAGUACUAAUUCUUGCUGGUAGCGCUUGCACUGCAGAUCAUCACUCAUGUACAUGUUCCAUGGAGCUAUUAACAACCUGCCACGUGGGAAAACAAAUUCAGACACACAUGAUCGAUUGGUUCCCUUAUACUAUAUAUAGUCUGGAUAAAUGUUAGAGGGCCAACAUAGAAGGGCACUCAGCAAGAUUUUGAGUAUAAAUUAGAAGUAGCACAGAAGUUGAAACCUACUAAUAGUCAUACCUCAUAUGUAGCUGUAUAAAUUCAUAACCUUGUAACUGUUAAUGUAGCUUAAUCACAUUGUUACAAAUACAGUGUGGUGUUUACUUAGGGCUUUGUUUUGCAUGAUUGAUUUCACCAUCUGGUUUCCAGAUUAGGGACUGAAAACAGGAACAAAGCCUUGUCUGCUAUCAUGUGCUAUUUUUGGCAGAUUAGGCAGUUGGUUUCAUCCCUCAUAGCACAAAGCUAGAAUGUUAACUGAAAGCCAGCGGCUUGCAUGUGAUGUGUGUUUAGUUAGUGCAAGUCGGUGGAGACAAGGCAAGUUGAGGUUUUAGGAAAAGACAAAAAGGUAGAGUGGAGUCGUUUCAUUCUUUUCUGGUUUCGUUUGGAAGACCAUUUCAUCACGAAUUUUGUUUUUCAGGCACCUGCUAAUGCUAUUGUCUAUGUCUGCAGCUUGAUGAUAUCUGUCAUGUUAUCUACUUGCAUUUUAAUGUAUCUCUUUUCUUCCUCAACUUAGGAAUUCUAUGAGACAAGAUGGCCGAGUUUCUGUUAACUCUUUUUUUUUACUUCUUGAGGGGGCAAUGCAUUGAAUAUUGUUUGGUGCUGGAACUCUUAUUUAUCAAGGAUAGUGCACAACUUUAUGCAUGCCUAAUGCCUUGUCAAUCACAAUUGGAUCUAGCAAUGCACAUAUGAUAGUUUGUUCUUUUGAAAGGGUAAAUUUAGUACAACAUCAUGGUAAAAUUUAGCUGUUGAUAACUAUAUGCCUUGCUGCAAGUAUUUCAUAGCCCUCGUGUAGAUAUGCAACUGAACUUUUCUACAUGUUCUAUCUUUUUGCACUUUCCCUUGCUCACAGGUCACAAGUAAUCACCAUGGAAUAUGUUUUAGCUGUGAAGGUAAUGUAUGUUACUUGGCGCUGAUGCAUCAUCAUGACAAAUGGAAUUUGAUACCCUUGCAGUACAAUGAGAGCUUUAUUUUUGUGUGACAGAAACUCAGAAAGUAGCAAGAUUAGCGAGAAUCAUGAAUUUGCAUCUGGCUAUUUAGUUACGGGAGACUCGGUUUGGGGCUAGGUCCAGUCGUCUGCCUGCUGCUUUCGGCCGCGAUAGUUUAUAGCAUGGAGUCAUGAACCUCCUGAGGCCUCCAUUGGUUUGGAGGAAUUUUAUAGGAAUUCUGCGAGAUAGGAUUUUUAUAGGAAAAAUUCCUUUACUGUUCUUUGGUUUGUAUGAUUAGGAUCCUAUUUGUAUGAAGGAAUUCUCCCUAUUCUUCACAUUUCAUAGGAAAAUAAACAUUAACCUAGACCCAAUGAAAAAAUUCCUAUGAUGUAAACCAAAGGACAUCUCUCUUCGUAUUUCUAUUCAUAGAAUUUGAGAUGCAUGACAUCUCAUUUCAUAGGAUUUUUAUAGGAAAAAUUCCUUUACUGUUCUUUGGUUUGUAUGAUUAGGAUCCUAUUCAUAUGAAGGAAUUCUUCCUAUCCUUCACAUUUCAUAGGAAAAUAACCAUUAGCCUAGACCCAAUGAAAAAAUUCCUAUGAUGUAAACCAAAGGACAUCUCUCUUCGUAUUUCUAUUCAUAGAAUUUGAGUUGCAUGACAUCUCAUUUUCUGCAAGUUUCCUAUUCCUAUGAUAUUCCUACCCCUGUGAACCAAAGGACCUUUGAGUUUUUGAAGAUCUCUGCUGCACUGCAGCGUCUUGUUGCGUAACUCUUGCUGUCAGCACUUGUACUGUACAUGUUGUGUGGAAACAAAUUCAGAGAUGUAAUCUAUUCACUUUUACUGUAGAGCCUGGAUAAAACUUAGAUGACGAAUCGGAAGUACAAAUCGAAAGUAGAAACUUGCUAAUGGUCGUACAUAACUGGUGGAACAGCCUUGCCUGCCAGCAUACGCGAUUGCGUGACAGAUUAGGCAGUUGGUUUCACCCCUCGGUGUACAAAGCUAGAAUGUUAACUGAAAGCCUGUGCUCUUGCAUGCUCUGUGUAUUUAAUUAGUGUAACUCCAUGGAGACAAGGCAAGUUGAGGUUUCAGGAAAAGACAAAAGGGCAGAGUGGAGGCCGUUUCAAUCUUUCCUUGUUUGGCUUGGAAGGCCGUUUCAUCACGAAUGCUUGUUAUAAAAAAUCAAUCAACAAUUGUUGCCUGGCAAAACAAAGCUCAAUAAUUUGGUAUCGAGGCUGCAUUCAGCUUCCACUAGCUAAGGUUUAGUCGGGAAGAAAUC